Molecule: long non-coding RNA, 551 nt
Organism: Vidua chalybeata
Lineage: Eukaryota; Metazoa; Chordata; Aves; Passeriformes; Viduidae
Exons: 2
Source: RefSeq, a predicted model, not a curated record
GGCGGGCUCGGGGGGUCCGGCCGGGCCCGGACCCGGCGGGGGAGUCCCGCGGGGAGCGCGUUUGACCCCGGGCACCGCUGCGGGGCUGGGACGGCGGCCCCGGCCUCCAGGGGAGGUUUCUCUCUCGCAGACGCUCGUGUGGACGCUGGAGUGCGGGCAUACGGGAUUCCCCACGCAGGGCCGCACUCCCAGCACCCGCUGCCAACGCCCAGACAGCGGCGGGGAGAGUCUGUAACCCGCCCCCCGACCCGCAGCCUCCCGCCCGGGCGCCUGUUUUCCACCCGGAGGACAGGGAUGUGACAUGGGCAGGAGCCAGAGGUCACAGAUCUGCGGGGCUGAGGCGACUCGGCCGACGUCAACCCCGGGCGCCCGCCCGUCGAGCUGGGGUUUGUGCCUGGGGAAAAGUACGCAAGGGCUUGAACGGGCACGCUCCGUUAACUCGUUUAAAUGGUCACAAGCACACUGCUCUUCCUGAGGAAUUACACCUUAAACAGACUUGGCUGUUUAAUAAAACAGCCCUGGUCCCCUGCAGCGGUGACCUCUGAUCCCAA